Molecule: long non-coding RNA, 2705 nt
Organism: Anguilla rostrata (American eel)
Lineage: Eukaryota; Metazoa; Chordata; Actinopteri; Anguilliformes; Anguillidae
Exons: 5
Source: RefSeq, a predicted model, not a curated record
CCGAGCUGGGUGCGUGACGAGUGACUGGGCUGGCCGCUUACGUUAAGGGCCUGGGCAUAGCUAGUAGGCUAUAUACUUAUUAUAAAUAAUGCAUGUUACGGCAUCACAGGCGUGGUUUGGUCUGAAACCUCCUUAAACGGAUUGGAAAGAAGAUCUGAUCUCCGAGAGAUGGAUCCUAAGCCCGUCCUCGCAUAUCCCGUUUCUGGCUUCAUGGUCAUAGCCAGCGAGGAGACCAGGAAGUGUGUUUCAGUGUGUUGACCUGGAAGAGAUUCCCUAAAUUAUGGGUGGGAGAUGGAGGAUGGGGCGCCUACAGUCACUUAUUCAAACUGAGUGAUUGCAAUAAUGGUCAUCUUGGCCACGUGCCAGUUCUUGCAUCAAAGUGAAUGCAAAGGGGCUUCAAAGAGUACGGCUUGAAGAACUUGAAGAAAAGCCUUGGAAGAAUCUGUUUUUGGCUUUAUUAUAAGAUCAAAUGAAUUCUGCAGAGAAUGAAUGAGAGUUGAACUUAUUUCUCAUUUGCAGUGCAGGGGUGGGGUGGGGUGGGGUGGGGGGGGGGGCUGAACUUAAUAGCAAUGACUAACAUUUCUGAUCAAAUAAAUGCAUGUUGACUCUAUACUGUAGCUAUGUUCCUUCAUUUGAAAGAUUUUAAUUUGAAUGAAGAAAUGUCUAUCAAGACCUGUGUCUUUAAACUCUUCGUCAAGCAGAGGUUUCUUUCUUGGGUUUUAGGGGGUCACAAACUACACGCGUUACUGAGCCAGUGAUACGUUUGACCUCUCUUGACUCGUCACAAUUAAGCAUAGGCAAUUCGUAUGUAUUAAGGGUACAUAUCCACAUUUUCCUCAACAUACUUUUGCAAGGACCUAUUUGUAAAAGGCAGGUGUUUGGCCCUGGUUUGUAAACAUUGCAGACAUUUAGCAGACGCUCUUAUCCAGAGCGAAGUGCGCAACUUUUACAUAGCAUUUUACGUUGUAUCCAUUUAUACAGCUGGACGUACACUGAAGCAAUGCAGGUUAAGCACCUCGCUCAAGGGUACGAUGGCAGUGCUCUACCCAGGAAUCAAAUUUAUGACCUUUCGGUUACAAGGCCAGUUCCUUACCCACUGUGCUACACUGCCGUAAGCAUCUAGUUCUUGAGCAGUGCAGGUCAUCCAGUUUUCACUUCAGUCUCUACACUACCUUUGGCUCUUGGCAGGACUCUUCUCUAUAAUAAUAACUUUAUGUAUAUAGCACCUUUCAUACAGAGUAUGUAGCUCAAAGUUCUUUGACAGACCAACACAGUCAUACCACAAUAUCAGAAUAAAACCGUAUCACCGUGAACCAUCUGUAUUCCUGCGUCGCACGUUUGGCGGUUUCUGUAAGAUUCUGAUCCCGCGUCAGGGUUUAACCUCCGUCUGCUUGGUUGUGUUACCCGGAGGCUUCCUUCUGUUCCUGGUGCAUCUCGGGCCGUCUUUUAAAGAGGUCUUCAGGCUGUAGACCAGGGAUCAGUAACUCUCGGUCCUCGAGGGCCGAGAACUGCUGGUUUUCCACCCUCCCUUUGCCUGGGAGUCGGUUGUGAAGACGGUCUGGCCAAUCGGUAGCACUAAUUACCCGGGAGAACAGAAAACCUGGGCUGGAUUUGGAAUCGAAGGCCAGAAUCGAUGACCCCUGCUGUAGACUAAUUAAAGACCGAGUGGAAAAGUUUGAGUACGAUUUCAAGAACACCCAUUCGAGGCACUAAUUUAAAAUUCUGCAGAUUUCUUUAGUGCAUUAAGCUUGGAAAAUAUUUUCCCCUGGCGUGUGAGUGAUGUGAAAAGUUGACGUCCUGAAGUAACUGGGAUUGAGGUCAGUUAUUCUGGCCAAUGAGGCGCACUGUCCCAGAAUGCACUCUCUGAAGGCUGCGUUAGAGACCGCAGCUUAGUUUAGCAGCACUGUGGCAGGCCUGCUCACACAACUGGGGGAAAAAUCAUGAUCUUGUCUUGUCCAAAAUCCGGCUGAGGCCUUUGAAAGCGGCAGAUGCUUGAUUUGCAUGAUUGGCAGUGUGGUAGCGUUUUUCGUGGAGGGGUUGGUAUGAAGUGACUCCAGAUGCUCUAUGGGGCAGGCAAGGUCAGGUUCUAUAAUUAUUAAAAAAAAAAAAAAAAAAACUUGAAGUGUUGAUUUAUUGAAGUAAUUUUCUUUUCCCAAGUGCAUAGAUUAACAACAAUUUGAAUUUGGGGGGAAAUGACGGUGAUCUUUCAAAACAUGGUGUGCUUUUGCGUUACUAAAAUUAAAAUGCAUAGUACUCUGGUUAGGUCAGUAAUAUCUAAUGCGGGAUGUUUUUCUGUUCCCUUGCAUUUUAGGUCCUCUGGGGCCUUUCCCUGGUCUUGGGCUUUUUAUCGCUACUCAUUGCUUUGAAAUAAUUUGGUUUGGCAGAACAUUUUACUGCAUUUUAAUUCAAUCAAGACCUCCCUCCCUUCCCUAACAAACUCAAUAUAUUAUGAUGUGAAAGAUGUAAUAUUCAUUUUUAACAGCCUAUGAUUUGAAAGGAAUAAUCUUAAACUAUGAUUUGAUAGCUUUCUAUCUUGAUUUGCGUUACAAUUGGAUUGCCUUGAAUGAACCUUUGAAUGCGAACCCUGUGUGUGUGUAUAAACCUGGCUUUCUGCCUUCAACUGCACACGCCAUGUUGUACACACGCUGCCAUAAAGGUAAGGCUUCACGAUAGUCUUCAUCUUCACAUUACAUUUAUUUAGCAGA